RNAcentral lists this ribosomal RNA (253 nucleotides) under uncultured bacterium. RNAcentral describes it as "partial 16S ribosomal RNA". It matches the Rfam family "Bacterial small subunit ribosomal RNA", at positions 524 to 776 of the family's 1533-position model. The record is from RNAcentral.
UACGAAGGGGGCUAGCGUUGUUCGGAAUCACUGGGCGUAAAGCGCACGUAGGCGGAUCUUUAAGUCAGGGGUGAAAUCCCGAGGCUCAACCUCGGAACUGCCUUUGAUACUGGGGAUCUCGAGUCCGGAAGAGGUAAGUGGAACUGCGAGUGUAGAGGUGAAAUUCGUAGAUAUUCGGUGGAACACCAGUGGCGAAGGCGACUCGCUGGACUGAUACUGACGCUGAGGUGCGAAAGCGUGGGGAGCAAACAGG